This 9938-nucleotide long non-coding RNA is filed under the name Gossypium barbadense (sea-island cotton). RNAcentral's name for it is "long non-coding RNA (GBAR_LNC021790)". The record is from RNAcentral. Lineage: Eukaryota; Viridiplantae; Streptophyta; Magnoliopsida; Malvales; Malvaceae.
UACGCUAACCAAUGUUGUUGCUUGAAGUUUAGGCAAGUGCCAAAUUACUCUUGAAUGGUAAUAUGUUUAAUUAUAAGGUGCAUUGGAAUGGUAAGUGCUUAGAUGAAAAUAUAAUUGAGCUUAUGAAAGAGUGGAAAGGUUUCAAUUAUUUAAUUUCUUAUAAAAAGAUUUGUUAUGUGAUACGCCCGUAUGAAUCCUGCACCUAAUUCGGAAAUAAUUUUUUUUUUAAAUUUAUAUAUAUAUAUUUAGAAUUUUGUGAAAAAUUUACUAUGAUUUCGAUUUAAUCCUAGUAAGUUCCUAAUAAAUGUGUAAUAGGCCAUUUUAGCCCGGGCCUAAAUACAUAAACCUUAAAAUAAAAAUACAAUAAAUUACAGACCCAGUUUUAAACCCAAUAACACCCCGACCCAAUAACCGAAUUAUAAGCCCAUUUUUUUGACCCAAUUACAGAGUGACCCAAACAAAACAAAAUCAGAAACCCUAGCAGUUAGCAAGCCGGCGCCGCAACUACCCACGUUCUUCCCUCGCAACAACGCCCCACGUCGUAGCAACUCUCACACAUGCACGUACCUGCAACAAAGAAGCGACGAACAACACUAAUAGGAUAUACAUACAACAAAUUGUAAAGGAGGGGGGGCUGGAGAAAGACCAAUUUUUAUUUUUAUUUUUUUUUGUAAAGGGGUUUAGACAAAAUUUGGUAUUGAAAAACAGAAAAGAAAAUACAAAGGAAGGUGACAGAAAAGCAAAAGAUUUUAAAGGUGAAGGAUUCUUGAUUUUCUUCUUUUGUUCUUGUUACUGUUGGCAUUACAUUUUUGUUUUUCUUUUCUUUUUUUAAAAUAUUAAAUAAGCAAAAGGGACAAAGGGGGAAAGGUUCUUACCGGUGGUAGUGCGCUGUCGGGGUGCCGUCGUCGUCGUGGCCGGUUGGGAGCGGAUUUGGAGCGGAAGAGAGAAGGGGAUAACGGCGCAACUUCAAAUGGCAGAAGGGAAAUGAUUUUAGGGUUUUAAAAUGGAAUUUUUAUAGGGUUCAAAAUGGGACAUUUGCGCGAUUGGUCCCUUGCUUUUCUUUUACAAUGCUUUUAAAUUAAAUUAUUUAUCUCUUCUAAAUUUCACCACAUAUUUUAUAACUGUUUCAAAUUGGUCCAAUAUUGCGCAAUGCUUUGGGUGGUUUUGGUAAAUUGUUUUUUUGGUCCUCCCCCUGGUUGCGCGUGUUUAAAUUACUCCCUUUCUUAUUUUUAUUUUUCAAAUUCAGCUCUCAAAUUCCGUUUGGUUUUGAAACUUAAUCUUUAAUUUGUUUUUUUUAGUUAUUUAUUUAUUUAUUUAUUAUUAUAUUGUUUAUAUUGUUUAUUAGUAUAAUUAUUACUAUAUUAUUAUUGUACGUAUAUAUGUGCGCAUAUAUAUAUGUUAAUAUAUAUAUGUAUAUUCUAAAUGUUUUAAAUGCAUAUAUGUAGUACGUAUAUAUUUUAUUAUCAUAUCAUUUUAUUUUUAUAGUUUAUAUAUAUUUUAUAUACAUUCAUAUUUUUUAUGAUAUUUAUAUUUUCAUGUUUUAUAAUUCAUAUGUUUAUACAUUUUUAUAACGUGUACAUAUAUUUUUGCAUUCCUUUCAAGGCUAUUAUAAAUAUUUUCCAUGUUUUUAUAUUUACUAAUACAUUAUACUUAUACAUUUUUAAAAAAAUGAAUUAAUAUAUUUUAUAUGUAUUUUAUCAUUGUUUUUUAUGACUUACAUUUUUUCUCUCAUAUCCAUAUACAUAUUUGCUAAAAUUGUUUAUAUAUCAUACUUAUGUAUACACAUAAUUUAAAUUAAAAUAUUUGUUUCCUAUUGCAUUGACAUUUUAACACAUUUUUCAAAUACAUUUUGAUUUUGUCAAAACAUUAAAAUCGUUUUUUAUGAUUCAAAGGUUUUUAAAAUAAAAACGAUAUUCAAAGUUAGGGAUUUUCGAGGAAAAUUGAGCCCUAACGUAUUGGAUUCCGAUUUUCUUUGUUAAUUUCAAAUAACCGAGAAUAUUCGUUAUUUAAAAUAUAUAAGAAAAAUCAUUUUUGGGAACUUAAUUUGUUAUGUCCUAACGUAUUGGGCAUGACAUAAUUGCUUCCUCGAAAUGAAGAUUUACUUAUAAAGCAAAAGUGAUAUUCAAAAUUCGGGGAUUUUGAGAAAUUGUACCCUAACGUAUUGGGUCUCAAUUUAUUUGCAUGACUUGAACAAUUGAUUAUCCUUUUCAAGUUUCAUCAUUUGAAUUUUAAAAAUCUUUUUAACCCUCGACAUUAAGACAUCAAAUAAUCAAUUUGGUACCGAUUUUUGGGCGUUACGAGGGUGCUAACCCUUCCUAGUGCGUAACUGACUCCCGAACCCAUUUUCUCAAAUUUCGUAGACCAAAAUCGUUUUUAAGGUGAGUCGAUCACACCUCAAUAAAGGAUCGGUGACGACUCCAGUUUUUUUUUUUAAAGUCGACAACUAAAUUUUUGUUUUAUCAAAAAAUGGUUUCGACAGCUUGGCGACUCCACUGGGGACCUUCGAGAGUCGAGCCAUAAAUUGAUUAUUUGGUGUCUUUUUGUCGAAAAUUAAAGUUUUUUUUAAUCAUAAUUUCCCUUUGCAUUCAUUGAUUUUCAUUGUUUGCUUGUUUGGCUUAAGUCUGUUAUCUUAUUUGCAUUUUGCAUCUCAUAACGUCGGUCAUUUUUACCCCUUUAGGUGGGAGUGAGAAGCUAGUCCUUCGUGAGGUUUUCACCUCCAUAUAGGAUAGUGGAUCACUUUUGGGAUACAUCCGUACCUAUGCCUCCAUGAGACCUACGUCUCCGCAUAGUCAUAGGGAAAUGUAUUCCCCUGAAUCGAACUUGGUCUAUAUGAGCCUAUAAUGGGUGAGGAUCGAGGAAUCUGCUGGUUCGGGUACCCUUGCCCUAGAAACCAAACCACAUAUAGUGAACCAUAGGAACUCACCUAGGUAGAAUUACUCUUAACCUUAGUUGAUACCUAAUUAGGAGUUUUUACUAUUUCUUGGUUGUAUUAUAUUUAAUUGUUACUGACUUUUCUUUUGUUUUAUGUUUUACUCUGAUUGUAUGGCAUUGCCAUCACAUGGCAUUUCAUUUUAAAAGGCAUUUCAUUUUAAAAGCGAUAGUGGCUACACCGAGGAGGGAUGACAUCUCGGAAGAGAAAUUGAUGGCUAUUUUUUAGAAUUUGCAUGAGGAGGAUAUCGAGUGGAGAGCUCCAUGGUUGCUUCCAGACGAGAUCCUAUAUCGACGUGGGGAUUUUGAUUGGGUUCCUUUGAUUGGGAUUUGGGGAGCCAUUGGUUAUGCCCCAUUGCUAGCGUUAAGGCAAUACAGGUCAAGGCAGUUUGUGCCUGCAACUCAGGGAUUAGCCAAGUGUGAAUUCUCGUGUAAGGGUGAUGGGUACAAAAAGAGAAUUCAUGAAAUGGUCAAUGCAUGGAGUCAGACUCACCGAAUGAAGAGGUUGGCUGUGGGUCCGAUGACAACUCCCGAGUAUAGUGAAUGGUGGGUCAUGAGGAAUAAUGAUAACAUUCCUGGGCCAGGUUCAGAAAAUAGUCAGUCGAUAGAGGAGUAUUUGCGUGUUGUCCCUACUGAGCUGGAAAUCAUAAAGCAGGACUUUGAAAAGAAAAAUGUAGAAUUAGAGAAGAAAAUAGAGCAAAUGGAGGAGGAAAAAGUGGGUUUGAGACUGGAUAUAGAUGUUCAAAAGCUCGAGGCUAAUAAAUUAAGGAAGGGGAAGAAUAAGGCCAAGGAGGAGCUAGAUAGCUUGAAGAUAAAUUAUAAGAAGAUGCGUCUAUCAAUGAGAACUGCCGGGCUUGGAAAAACUUCAGAGCAGCGGUGUGAAGAGGUUCAAGAAGAAAGAAACGGGUCGGACUGGUGGGAAAGAAAAUUUCAAGAGGUACAAGCAAGGAACGAAGCAUUAGAAAAGAGCUUGUCGGAGGGCCAAAAGGAAAAAAACGAGCUAAAAGAUAGAGUGAUUGAGUUAGAAAGGGUCUCUUCGUCAGCACAGAAGUCGAAAUUCUGUAGUAGAGCUAAAGGCGAGUCUAAGCAAGAUUGAAGAGAUGAAGAAUAGAAUAGAAGAGUUAGAAGUAGCAUUACGAAGUUGUGAGGUUCAGAUUGACCAUCUAGAGGCAAAGAAAGGUCGUCAAAAUGAGCAACUUCAUUAUUUCCAGAAUUAAGUCAGAAAUAGGGAUCGUGUUAUGGGAGAAGUUGUGGUUCAGGUUCGAGAAGUGGCAGAUCACCUACAAACUUUGGCAGUAUAGGCCGACGCGUUGAGUGUGAAGUAUGAAUUGGAGUCAGACCGGGGACAAGAGUUGGCCUCGUUGCUUAAAAAGAUCAAGGUUUUAAGUAUUAGGGCAAAGCCAUAUUUGUAGCCCAUUCUAUGUAAAGAGAUUUAUUUUCUAAUAAAGUUUUCUGAAAGUAAUUGAAAUUAGAAUCAACGUCUCUUUAUGCAUUCAUUUCAUGCAUUCACAUUACAUGACAUCAUAUGCAUUAAAAUUCAUUGAAAGAGCCUAAUUGAGUAAAAUUAUUUCAGUUAAAUUGGAAAACCAACACCCUCACAGCACUCAAACAAAGACUAGAGAAAUGGACCAAAGGUUGGAGAAAUUAGAGCAAAUGCAAGUGCGGAUGCAGGAGAAAUUGACCAAAUUUCAGCAAGAUAUGAAGAAUCAGUUGUUAGAAUUCCAAAGAAAUAUAAUGUGCCAGUUAGCCCAGUUAUUGGCUAGAGGGUUAGAAAGAGGAAAGACCCCAGCGGUCCACUUUGGGGAUAAUAAUGAGGACUCUAUAUAUCCUUCAGGCUUCACCCUAACAAAUACCCAAGGACAACCAAAUGCAUAUCCACAAAGGGUAAUUGUUAACAUCCGACCCCAAUAUCAGACCAACACCUCGACACCAGUGAAUUUCCAGAUUGGCUCAGGUUCCAACUCGAUAGGCAAUUCAACUAAUCCUGUUGUCAUUGAUGAUCAAGUAGGAACAGAACAGGCGAGGGUGGAGUUCCUAAAACAGUUUGAAGAUCGUUACAAACGGAAGGGGCGAGAGUGGAACUCUCAAAUCAAUACUUUAAAGGCUCCAAGGAAGAAGGGGAAUAAGAGGGAUAAUGUAGGUAGAUAUAAAAAGGGUCACUCAAAACCAAUCACUGUGGGCCGACCAAAGAUAGAAAUCACUAGCCAUCAGAGCCAUUUAAAGCGAGAAUCUUACACGAAGACAAAUACAGAAGGGCUUCAGUUCACGCCUAUACCGAUGUCAUAUAGCAAGCUGUAUCAAAGCCUAUUUAAUGCACAUGUGGUGUCCCCCUUCUAUUUGAAACCAAUGUUGCCCCCAUUUCCUAAAUGGUAUAAUGCAAAUGCUCAGUGUGAAUACCAUGCAGGAAUUGCGGGGCAUUCGAUAAAAAAUUACACCGCUUUUAAGAAAUUGGUUGAAAGGCUCAUCAAUAUGGACAUUGUCAGAUUUGAAGAUUCAUCGAGUGCAGAAAAUUCGCUACCCAAUCACAUUUGAUAAUGAGGUUAAUGUGAUGUAUGAAGAAGUUUUGAGAGGUGUUCACAUCAAUACCAUAUUUGAAGACAAUUGAAAAGGGACCUUAUUAGAUAUCCACCCUUAUAAACUUGGGAGUGUCCUAAAUAAUCGGAUUGGAGAGGAAUUCUCCGUAGUAUCUAGAGCUUACUUAGAGUAAUGUUCGAAACAUACUUGUUGCUUUUAGCCUAGAGGCAAUAAGAAUUCCUUUGUGAAAUAGGCUCAUGUCUGAUUGUCGCUAUUUUAAUGAAAUGCAUCCUUGCGAUUAUUUUUUCUUUCAGUCUUUUGAAUAAUUAUUCUUUCAUUAUUUUAGAUUUUCUUCCACACCAUUCAUUUAUUCAUAAUCAUAUUGUACAAAUAGUUCUUCAUAAAUUUAUACAUUCUUUUGUAUUUUUUUGGUAUUUAUUAUGGGUCCCAGAUAUCAAUGACGUGAGUGACGCUGCUACAGACUCAGAAUCUCCUUUUGAGCAAGAUAUGUGUUUAGGGAGAUCUCAUGACUUUGAAGAUGACGUAGAUCAUGGCCUAUCUCCGGACUUAUUGAGGAUGGUAGAACGGGAAGAGAAACAAAUUCUACCUCAUGAGGAGACAAUGAAGAUUGAAACUUUGAGGGAACAUGCAUAACCGGAGAAACAAAGCAAUACCUUGUUGAGUUACCUUAAGGGUUCAAAGAUGUCAUCGCAUGGUCAUACCAGGACAUGCCCUGGUUAAAUAUUGAUAUUGUAAUCUGAGCAACAGCACGACGUCAAAAAUUUGUAGUAUGCUCAAGAUUAACAUCAUGAACGAUGCGGUUAGAAUUCUUUGCCGGGGCAAAACCUUCUUCUCUGGUUUAUCAUAAUUUUGCCCAUUGAAGUCAAGUUGUCAUUUCUCCGUAUUUUUGUUGGAUUUCAUCCUAAUUUAAGAGGAAGAUCCAAAGUUUUUUCUUCAUAGAUAAAAUUUCACCCCAAAACCAAAGAAGAUCUUUCGGAUACAAAAUGAAAGCGGAAGAUCUUAUGGGGAAGAUCUUAUCUAGAAUAACAUUGAUUCUGAUCGAAAGGGAUGACUAGGACUUGCCUAAUCCUAUGAGUGCAGAUUCAAAAAAAAACAACAAAAAAAACCCCCGCUGGGGCAAUGCCUUUCUCUUUAGCUUAUCACGGUUUUUCCAUUAAAGUUAAAAUUCUUUUUCUCUGGGUAUUGGCUGAGCUGAAGUACGAUGAAGAUUCAAUCUCGAUACGAUCAGUUAAACUUAAUUGAAGGAAAAAGGUUAAAAGCUAUUCGUCACGGUCAGAUGUACCAAAAACGGAUAGUGCAAGCUUACAACAAAAAGGUUCGUCCUAGAGAAUUCCAUGAGGGAGACCUGGUAUUGAAAAAGAUCAUUCCUCUACAAAAAUAUUUUAGAGAAAAAUGAGUGCCAAAUUGAGAAUGUCCUUAUGUCGUAAAGAAGACAUUUUCCGGAGGAGCACUGAUCUUGAGUGAGAUGGAUAGUAAAAACUUGUCUAAUCUUGUAAACUCAGAUUCAGUCAAGAAAUGUUUCACUUAAAGAAUGAGAGGACCAAGGUAAAAGCCCACAAAUAGCACUUUGAGUCGCAAAAAAAAAGAGAUGAGAUGUGAAAAAAAAUGAAAAUGAAAAAUGAAAAAUGGAAAAAGUAAAAGUGGAGAGGCUAAGGUGAAAACUCACAAAGGGCGCCUUAGACCAAAGGGGAUUUGAGUUGAAAACCCGAAAAAGGCAGCUCAAAUAUUGAUCAAAAUGGGGCAUGAAGUAAUAAGAGUAGCUCAUAUUUUGAUCAGAUUGGGGCAUGUGGUGAUCUUGCUGUGCCUAAAUCAGCAGGAAAGGGUACGCGACAUCUUGGAGCAUCGACAGAGUAUUGUAGAUAUCCUAAGCACAUGUCAAACUCAGAAUGGUAUUCAGGAAGUUUGUACAGAGAAGUUCAAGCUGCGAUAUCUAGGGCACCUAGUUUUCAUACUAUUUUUAUCGAAUUGUUUGUUCUUGGAAUACUUCAUUCUUUUUCAAGAUACGUGUUCCCAAUCCAUUCUUCUUUUAUUUUUACUAUCCUUGAUAUUCUAUUCAUUUCGAGCUAUGUUCUUAAAUCAAUUCUAUUUUAUCUAUCGUUUUGUUCUUUUUGCAAGUAUGUUGCAUUAGAAUAAUGAUUAAGGACCAAUAAAACUUUCACAAGGGAAGUUUUGCAUAUUACUCUAGAAAUUUCUAAAUAAUAUGAGAACCUGAAACAGGAUUAUUGUUUAAAACACACUAGGUUUAAAAGUUGGAAAUCUGAUAAGGAAUGGUCUAAAUUAAGACUUUCUCUUUCGAUUUUGUUGUCAAAAACAUUGAUGGAACAAAAUGACAAUAUGUCAGGUUGGUGACGAGGCUUAAAUAAACAAGCAAGUAAUAAUUACCAAACAAUAGAAAGGGGUUUGCUUGGAGAAGAGAAUCAUUCAUUUGUGCAUAGGCAUUUGGGUAUGACACCCUGAGAAUGGUAUAAAGGAUCAAAGUGCUUCAUAUUUGCGAUAAGAGAAGAUUGAGAGGCCAGAUUAUUUCUACCCUUGGGUUACAGUAGGAGAAAGAUGGUACAAAUUUUGCGUCUCAGUAGUUUGAACUUUGAAGUUUACAGUGGGGGCAAUCUGAUCAAGUGUUUCUUUGGAGAGGCUAACCAAGCAAGAAGGCGUUGUGGCGCGUCAGUGGUAAAAUCUUAAUAAACUUUGAGUAAUGACAACCUAAGUGGGAUCAUUCUCGGGAAAAGUCCACAUUCAUUCAAAUGUCAUUCAUGCAUGUCUAGUUAGGAGCAUUUGAUUCUUUCUGAUCAUGACAUCCUAAUCAUAGGCAUAAUUAGGCUCAUAAUUUGAAUUAUACAGGUCGUGUUCCCUAGAGAACAAACCGGUAAAACUUCAGCCUUAUCUUCCUGAACAGCAGUGGAGUAGGUUGAAAAUAGCAGAUUUUUAUUUCCCCGACAUUGCAAUUAAAAAGAUUGAAGCCACAACGGCGGAUCUUAUUUCCCUAGCGGUGUAGUGGAGCAGAUUGAAGCUACGACGGCGAAUCUGGUUUCCCCGACAUUGCAAUUAAAAGAUUGAAGCCACAACGACGGAUCUUAUUUCCCUGGCAGUGUAGUGGAGCAGAUUGAAGCUACGACGGCGGAUCUGGUUUCCCCGACAUUGCAAUUAAAAAGAUUGAAGCCACAACGGCAGAUCUUAUUUCCCUGGUGGUGCAGUGGAGCAGAUUGAAGCUACGACGGUGGAUCUGAUUUCCCCGACAUUGCAAUUAAAAGAUUAAAGCCACAACGACGGAUCUUACUUCCCUGGCGGUGUAGUGGAAUAGAUUGAAGUCGUAACGGCAAAUCUUGUUUCCCCGACAUUGCAAUUAAAAAGAUUGAAGCCACAAUAGCAGAUCUUAUUUCUCUGGCGGUGCAGUGGAGUAGAUUGAAGCUACGACGACGGAUCUGGUUUCCCCGACAUUGCAAUUAAAAAGAUUAAAGCCACAACGGCGGAUCUUAUUUCUCUGGCGGUGCAGUAGAGUAGAUUGAAGUCACAACGGCGGAUCUGGUUUCCUCGACAGCGUAAUUAAAAAGAUUGAAGCCACAACGGCGGAUCUUACUUCCCUGGCGGUACAGUGGAGCAAAUUGAAGUCACAACGGCGGAUCUGGUUUCCUCGACAAUGCAAUUAAAAAGAUUGAAGCCACAACGGCGGAUCUUACUUCCGUGGCGGUGCAGUGAAGCAGAUCGAAGUCACAACGGCGGAUCUGGUUUCCCCGACAGCGCAAUUCAAAAGAUUGAAGCCACAACGGCGGAUCUUACCUCCUUAGCGGUGCAGUUGAACAGAUUGAAGCUACGACGGCGGAUCUUGUUUCCUCGACAUUGUAAUUGGAUAAAUUGAAGAAGAUAAUCCUAUCUCCCUGAAGUUGCAGUGGAGCGGAUUAACACCACAGAUCUUAUCUCUCUGAAAUUGCAGUAGAGCAGAUCGUAUCAGACUCAUCUUUGAAGUUGUAGCAGAAUAAGUUGAAGUUACGAGUCUUAUCUCCCUGAAGUUACGGUGGAGCAGACUAGAGAUAAGUUUUGUUCUUUUGAGAAGCUACCAGGUACAAGUCCUAUCUCCUUGAUGUUGCAAUGGAGUGGAUUGAAGCACCGAUUCCUAUACUUCUGCAGACGCAGUAGGUUGGAAUGACGCUACUUGAAGAGCGCUAAGGUCCAGUAUGCCCGGGCAAAAUUGGCCAUCUUAAAGUCUUUGCUCUAUUCCCGUUACACGACAACGAGCAAAAAGGGGCAGUUGUAAUAGGCCAUUUUAGCUCGGGCCCAAAUACAUAAACCUUAAAAUAAAAAUACAAUAAAUUACAGACCCAGUUAUAAACCCAAUAACACCCCGAACCAAUAACCGAAUUAUAAGCCCAUUUUUUUGACCCAAUUACAGAGUGGCCCAAACAAAACAAAAUCAGAAACCCUAGCAGUUAGCAAGCCGGCGCCGCAACUGCCCACGUUCUUCCCUCGCAACAACGCCCCAC